CCUACGGGAGACAGCAGUGGGGGAUAUUGCACAAUGGGGGGAACCCUGACGCAGCGACGCCGCGUGAGGGAUGAAGGUCUUCGGAUCGUAAACCUCUGUCAGCAGGGAAGAACGGUCACUGUGCUAAUCAGCAGUGAAUUGACGGUACCUGCAAAGGAAGCACCGGCUAACUCCGUGCCAGCAGCCGCGGUAAUACGGAGGGUGCGAGCGUUAAUCGGAAUUACUGGGCGUAAAGCGCUCGUAGGCGGUAUGUCAAGUCAAGGGUGAAAUCCCCGCGCUCAACGUGGGAACUGCCUUUGAAACUGGCAAACUGGAGUGUGUGAGAGGAUAGUGGAAUUCCAGGUGUAGGAGUGAAAUCCGUAGAUAUCUGGAGGAACAUCAGUGGCGAAGGCGGGUUCCUGGGCAUUAACUGACGCUGAGGCACGAAGGCCAGGGGAGCGAAAGGGAUUAGAUACCCUUGUAGUC
This 465-nucleotide ribosomal RNA is filed under the name uncultured bacterium. RNAcentral's name for it is "partial 16S ribosomal RNA". It matches the Rfam family "Bacterial small subunit ribosomal RNA", at positions 338 to 795 of the family's 1533-position model. The record is from RNAcentral.